This 636-nucleotide ribosomal RNA is filed under the name Triticum aestivum (bread wheat). RNAcentral describes it as "partial small subunit ribosomal RNA". Lineage: Eukaryota; Viridiplantae; Streptophyta; Magnoliopsida; Poales; Poaceae. The record is from RNAcentral.
AUGGGGGGCUGGUUCUCUUUCCCGGGUAACGACGGGCGUGCAAUCCCAAGAGAGUGGGCAGUUGCAGCUGGAUUGGAUGCCACUCCCUUCAACAUGCGUCGACUGAAGAACGUGGGUCGCCCCGGCCCGCGCACACCAGAAGAAUUCGACGCCUACCACAUUCGCAAUCUCGCGCGCUGGGCCCUCCGACAUUACAACUCCAGCCACCCGGGUGCUGAGUUCCGGUGCCCUGAUCAGCCCACCACCGAGGCGAAGGCAGCCUGUGUUGGCUUCAGGGAAGAUCUCUGGUACCACCUCAACUUCUUGGCCUGCCUAAAGGAUGACGGCGACGAGCAGAGCUUCUUCGCCGAGCUACGCUAUGUCCGGUGUUCCAGCACAAUAAUCAUCGAAACAUGCACCAUCUUAGAAAAACCGUUUUGCCCCUUUAGAAGCAGUUGCACAUUGUGUCCAGAUGAAUCCAAGAUUUUGCAUCCAAGCGAUGUGGAGCUUGGGUGUGGGAAGGAGGGCCACCAAGAGGAAUUCUUCCGCGAGAGGUGUGGAUGGAACGGACAUGUAAAGGAAUUUUUCAGUCCAAGGGAGAUGCUAGCGAUACCCUUCAAGUUAGGAGGACCAGUGCCUCGAUAUAGACUGGAGUAA